GAAUUGCACCAGGGGUGCCUGUAUCUGCUAAAAAUAACACGGCAGGACAGGCUGAGAAAGUCCCUUUGAACCUGAACAGCAUAAUACCUGCGUAAGGAGCGUGCAAUCAUGUUUUU
RNAcentral lists this non-coding RNA (116 nucleotides) under Ananas comosus (pineapple). Its description in RNAcentral is "TPP sequence". It matches the Rfam family "TPP riboswitch aptamer (THI element)". Rfam says of the family: Vitamin B(1) in its active form thiamin pyrophosphate (TPP) is an essential coenzyme that is synthesised by coupling of pyrimidine and thiazole moieties in bacteria. The previously detected thiamin-regulatory element, thi box was extended, resulting in a new, highly conserved RNA secondary structure, the THI element, which is widely distributed in eubacteria and also occurs in some archaea. Lineage: Eukaryota; Viridiplantae; Streptophyta; Magnoliopsida; Poales; Bromeliaceae. The record is from Rfam by way of RNAcentral.